RNAcentral lists this ribosomal RNA (464 nucleotides) under uncultured Klebsiella sp. RNAcentral's name for it is "bacterial SSU rRNA". It matches the Rfam family "Bacterial small subunit ribosomal RNA", at positions 338 to 795 of the family's 1533-position model. The record is from RNAcentral. Lineage: Bacteria; Pseudomonadati; Pseudomonadota; Gammaproteobacteria; Enterobacterales; Enterobacteriaceae.
CCUACGGGUGGCAGCAGUGGGGAAUAUUGCACAAUGGGCGCAAGCCUGAUGCAGCCAUGCCGCGUGUGUGAAGAAGGCCUUCGGGUUGUAAAGCACUUUCAGCGGGGAGGAAGGCGGUGAGGUUAAUAACCUCAUCGAUUGACGUUACCCGCAGAAGAAGCACCGGCUAACUCCGUGCCAGCAGCCGCGGUAAUACGGAGGGUGCAAGCGUUAAUCGGAAUUACUGGGCGUAAAGCGCACGCAGGCGGUCUGUCAAGUCGGAUGUGAAAUCCCCGGGCUCAACCUGGGAACUGCAUUCGAAACUGGCAGCCUAGAGUCUUGUAGAGGGGGGUAGAAUUCCAGGUGUAGCGGGGAAAUACGUAGAGAUCUGGAGGAAUACCGGUGGCGAAGGCGGCCCCCUGGACAAAGACUGACGCUCAGGUGCGAAAGCGUGGGGAGCAAACAGGAUUAGAUACCGAGUAGUC